GUGCUGCAGCAAGAAGAAUGGGCUUGACAGGCUCACACUGUGAUCCUGAGUUGCCUGCCCCCGAAAUAAGGUCCCAGCCUCCUCCGCCCUUUGCAAGGCUCUUACACAUUAGUGAGCAGGAAGUGGAGUCCCGAUGGGAGGCUGGGAAUUUGAACGCCUUCCCAUUUCAGCACUGGAGGGGAGGAAGCUCAGUUCAGCACUCCACGCAGAUGGCUACCGCUCCCUCCUGAGCGCUCGCUCCUCUCGCUCCUCUCCCCUCACCCGCCGCCUUCCCUGCUGGGUCCCUCUCCCACCUCUCCUCCCUCUCCUGGAAGGGAAAAGUCUGCCAAGCUGGGGACUGCCACGACCAAACCAACAAAGGCCGACCGAAGGCAGAGAACUUGAAAAGAACUUGUUUUGUUCCAGUUAAGGAACCUGCAGGAAAAUCCACACCCACGUUGCCUGGUUUUGAACUGGAGAGCUGCGUGUGUGUGUAUGUGUGUGUGUGUGUCAAGCAAGAGGCGGAGGAGGCACAGACUACGGUCUCUGUUUUGAUAAGGAAACUGCCAGCUGUCGAAAGUUAACCAGCAGAGAGGGGAAGAUGGCCCAGGAGCCAGCCCCUCCUGAGUUUUAAACUACACUGUUUUCUGUCCAGAUAUUCCAAUGGAGACAGUUGGAAAACCUGUACUUCAGAGAAAAGAAGUUUUCCGUGGAAGUUCAUGACCCACGCAGGGCUUCAGUGACAAGGAGGACGUUUGGGCACAGCGGCAUUGCAGUGCACACGUGGUAUGCAUGUCCGGCAUUGAUCAAGUCCAUCUGGGCUAUGGCCAUAAGCCAACACCAGUUCUAUCUGGACAGAAAGCAAAGUAAGUCCAAAAUCCAUGCAGCACGCAGCCUGAGUGAGAUCGCCAUCGACCUGACCGAGACGGGGACGCUGAAGACCUCGAAGCUGGCCAACAUGGGCAGCAAGGGGAAGAUCAUCAGCGGCAGCAGCGGCAGCCUGCUGUCUUCAGGUAGGCAGAGGCCAGCUGGAGGGAUGCCCCCCGAGCAUGGCUGGGACCCCAGAGGGGACCAGGAAGGUGGGGAGAGCUGCAGCUGGGGAGACUGCAGGGCAAGCUGCCCCAAAGCUGGCUUUGCUUUCCAGACCAAGGUUGGGAUCCAAAUGCGAAUCUGAGAAAACUGCUCCCAGGAAUCAAAUAGUGGAAGGGAAAAAAAAAAAAAAAGCAUCAGUAGAACCACGCAGUGCAAGAAGGCCUGGUGGUCACACUUAAGUGUCUUCAGGUACCCCCCAGAGCGUUUCACAAUGCCAGUGGCAAGCUGUCGGGAAUGUCAGGUCCAAGGGUGAAAAGUGGAAUCCGCUCAUGUGCCCACUUGUGUGUUGUGAAUUUCAGGAUCUGGUGCCAGGAGACACUGCAUUCUACUCCCAGGUGGGUUUCUCCAGCUUUUAAAAAUGCGGAAUACUCUCUCCAUCGUGUCACAGGGCGUGAUCUCUCCAUUCAGUGCCUUUUGAAAUUGCGAGUCAGAGAUCUGGUGCCGUCGUCCGCUUCCGCCAGCCUUGGCCAAGUCAUUUUGUCUUUUGAUGUUGGGAGGGACAGAGGAGUUCCAAGGUCCUGGAUCUGACUGACUUAAAGAGGGGGGUGUCAUUUACUGAAAUGGCAGGAGGAGGAGUGGGUUUGAAAGAAGCAGAGAGGAAGGGAGGCAGCCGUGGUUUGGAAAUGUUAGAAAAGGGCAUUGUGGCCGGGCACGGUGGCUCACACCUCUAAUCCCAGCACUGUGGGAGGCCGAGGCUGGAGAAUCACUUGAGGCCAGGGAGUUUAAGACCAGCCUGGGCAAUAUAAUGAGACCCCGUCUCUACCAAAAAAAAAAAAAAAAUUAGCCAGGUGUGGUGGCACAGCACCUGUAGUCCCAGCUACUUGGGAGGCUGAGUAGGGAGGAUCACUGAACCCUGGAGGUUGAGGCUGCAGUGAGCAGUGACUGCACUGCCCUCCAACCUGGGUGACAGAGCAAGACCCUGUCUCAAAAAACAAAAAAAGAAAAGUGGAACAUGAGAAAAAAACCUGAUUGAUGUAGGAACCGUGCAGCUGUCUCUGAGCCAUGCAAAGAAGGCAAGAAAUCUUCCCUGGUAAUUUAUAUUACUAUAUAUAGUGGCUGUAAACAAUAACGAAAAGGAAAAGACAGGAGAGGAAGAGGAGCUAAAAAUUGUCUCGUUAGCUUCUGGGCUGGUGUGAUCCAAUCAUAGCCAGGAAAAAUUUAAAGGACCAGAGAGGGGACAGACAUCCUUCCUGGACUGAGAGGCGAGGUUACUGUUCUGGUGAGUGGAGCGUUAAGUUGAAGGCCCAUCCUUGGACAGGCUGAGGCCCUCCGGGGACCUUAGCAGUGUGUUCACAUGGUCAUGUGUUUUUAUAAAAUCUGUGAACAUAAUACGUUUUGUAUUUUUCUUCAGUAGAACCGCUAAAGGCCAGUGUGGUGGCUCAGGCCUGUAAUCUCAGCACUUUGGGAGGCCGAGGCAGGUGGAUCACCUGAGGUCAGGAGUUGGAGACCAGUCUGGCCAACACAGUGAAACCGCAUCUCUACUAAAAAUACAAAAAUUAGCCGAGUGUGGUGGUGCACACCUAUAAUCCCACUACUUGGCAGGCUGAGGCAGGAGAAUCACUUGAACUCAGGAGGCAGAGGUUGCAGUGAGCAGAGAUCGUGCCAGUGCACUCCAGCCUGGGCAACAGAGCAAGACUCUGUC
Molecule: small RNA, 2713 nt
Filed under: Pan troglodytes (chimpanzee)
Lineage: Eukaryota; Metazoa; Chordata; Mammalia; Primates; Hominidae
Description: retained intron
Source: RNAcentral